Molecule: ribosomal RNA, 590 nt
Filed under: uncultured bacterium
Lineage: Bacteria
Description: bacterial SSU rRNA
Rfam family: Bacterial small subunit ribosomal RNA
Source: RNAcentral
ACAAUGGGCGCAMKNGAUACCAGCCAUGCCGCGUGAGUGACGAAGGCCUUAGGGUUGUAAAGCUCUUUUGGCGGGGAAGAUAAUGACGGUACCCGCAGAAUAAGCUCCGGCUAACUUCGUGCCAGCAGCCGCGGUAAUACGAAGGGAGCUAGCGUUGUUCGGAAUCACUGGGCGUAAAGCGCACGUAGGCGGACUUUCAAGUCAGGGGUGAAAUCCCGGGGCUCAACCUCGGAACUGCCUUUGAUACUGUUGGUCUCGAGUCCGGAAGAGGUGAGUGGAAUUCCUAGUGUAGAGGUGAAAUUCGUAGAUAUUAGGAAGAACACCGGUGGCGAAGGCGGCUCACUGGUCCGGUACUGACGCUGAGGUGCGAAASGUGGGGAGCAAACAGGAUUAGAUACCCUGGUAGUCCACGCCGUAAACGAUGGAUGCUAGCCGUUGGCAAGCUUGCUUGUCGGUGGCGCASUAACGCAUUAAGCAUCCCGCCUGGGGAGUACGGCCGCAAGUUAAAACUCAAAGGAAUUGACGGGGGCCCGCACAAGCGUGGAGCAUGUGGUUUAAUUCGACGCAACGCAAGAACCUUACCAGCCCUU